Rattus rattus (black rat) is the source of this 132-nucleotide small nucleolar RNA. RefSeq annotates it as small nucleolar RNA SNORA17. Lineage: Eukaryota; Metazoa; Chordata; Mammalia; Rodentia; Muridae. The transcript has a single exon. The record is from RefSeq and is a predicted model, not a curated record.
CCUGCCCACAGAGGUGUUGCUGGUGUGCCUGCUGUGUCACAUGUGAAUCUGUAGGUGGCAGAGAGGAGAAAGCCUAUGUCUAGACUCAGUGUACUGACCUAUGGACAUCUGAAUUAUUAGUUGCCUAACAGU